Molecule: ribosomal RNA, 465 nt
Filed under: Vreelandella stevensii
Lineage: Bacteria; Pseudomonadati; Pseudomonadota; Gammaproteobacteria; Oceanospirillales; Halomonadaceae
Description: partial 16S ribosomal RNA
Rfam family: Bacterial small subunit ribosomal RNA
Source: RNAcentral
CCUACGGGGGGCAGCAGUGGGGAAUAUUGGACAAUGGGGGGAACCCUGAUCCAGCCAUGCCGCGUGUGUGAAGAAGGCCCUCGGGUUGUAAAGCACUUUCAGUGAGGAAGAACGCCUGGUGGUUAAUACCCAUCAGGAAAGACAUCACUCACAGAAGAAGCACCGGCUAACUCCGUGCCAGCAGCCGCGGUAAUACGGAGGGUGCGAGCGUUAAUCGGAAUUACUGGGCGUAAAGCGCGCGUAGGUGGCUUGAUAAGCCGGUUGUGAAAGCCCCGGGCUCAACCUGGGAACGGCAUCCGGAACUGUCAAGCUAGAGUGCAGGAGAGGAAGGUAGAAUUCCCGGUGUAGCGGUGAAAUGCGUAGAGAUCGGGAGGAAUACCAGUGGCGAAGGCGGCCUUCUGGACUGACACUGACACUGAGGUGCGAAAGCGUGGGUAGCAAACAGGAUUAGAUCCCCUAGUAGUC